GGCAGCUCUAGUGGUAGCCAUUUUUAUUGGGCCUAAAGCGUUCGUAGCCGGUUUGAUAAAGUCUCUGGUGAAAUCCUAUAGCUUAACUGUGGGACUUGCUGGAGAUACUAUUAGACUUGAGGUCGGGAGAGGUUAGCGGUACUCCCAGGGUAGGGGUGAAAUCCUGUAAUCCUGGGAGGACCACCUGUGGCGAAGGCGGCUAACUGGAACGAACCUGACGGUGAGGGACGAAAGCCAGGGGCGCGAACC
This 249-nucleotide ribosomal RNA is filed under the name uncultured euryarchaeote. RNAcentral's name for it is "partial 16S ribosomal RNA". It matches the Rfam family "Archaeal small subunit ribosomal RNA", at positions 478 to 725 of the family's 1478-position model. The record is from RNAcentral. Lineage: Archaea; Methanobacteriati; Methanobacteriota.